CUUUGACCUCGGAUCAGGUAGGGAUACCCGCUGAACUUAAGCAUAUCAAUAAGCGGAGGACAAGAAACCAACAGGGAUUGCCCCAGUAACGGCGAGUGAAGCGGCAACAGCUCAAAUUUGAAAUCUGGCUCUUUUAAAGUCC
This 142-nucleotide ribosomal RNA is filed under the name Alternaria infectoria. Its description in RNAcentral is "partial 26S ribosomal RNA". It matches the Rfam family "Eukaryotic large subunit ribosomal RNA", at positions 1 to 139 of the family's 3401-position model. The record is from RNAcentral. Lineage: Eukaryota; Fungi; Ascomycota; Dothideomycetes; Pleosporales; Pleosporaceae.